UACGUAGGGUGCGAGCGUUGUCCGGAAUUAUUGGGCGUAAAGAGCUUGUAGGCGGUUUGUCGCGUCUGCUGUGAAAAUCCGGGGCUCAACCCCGGACUUGCAGUGGGUACGGGCAGACUAGAGUGUGGUAGGGGAGACUGGAAUUCCUGGUGUAGCGGUGAAAUGCGCAGAUAUCAGGAGGACCACCGAUGGCGAAGGCAGGUCUCUGGGCCACUACUGACGCUGAGAAGCGAAAGCAUGGGGAGCGAACAGG
Molecule: ribosomal RNA, 253 nt
Filed under: uncultured bacterium
Lineage: Bacteria
Description: partial 16S ribosomal RNA
Rfam family: Bacterial small subunit ribosomal RNA
Source: RNAcentral